GUAAGGACCGCCCUGGGCCUGGAAGAAGCCCUCCCUCCUUUCCUCCUCGCGUGAUCUCGUCAUCGCCUCCAUGUCGAGUCGCUUCUCGAUUAUGGGCGGGAUUCUUUUGCCUAGGCUUAAGGGGCUAACUUGGUCCCUGGGCGUUGCCCUGCAGGGGAGUGAGCAGCUGUAAGAUUUGAGGGGCGACUCCGAUUAGUUUAUCUUCCCACGGACUAGAGUUGGUGUCGAGGUUAUUGUAAUAAGGGUGGGGUAGGGAAAUGGAGCUUAGUCAUUCACCUGGGGCUGAUUUUAUGCAACGAGACUGCGGAUUAUCACUACUUAUCAUUUUUGGAGCAUUUUUCUAGAGACAGACAUAAAGCAUGAUCACCUGAGUUUUAUACCAUUUGAGACCCUUGCUGCACCACCAAAGUGUAGCAUCAGGUUAAAUCUUAAUAGAAAAAUUUUAGCUUUUGCUUGAGAAACCAGUGCUUCCCUCCCUCACCCUCUCUCCCCAGGCUCUCUACCCCUUUGCAUCCCUACCAGGCAUCUUAGCAACUCUCACUCAUACUUGAUCCCAUUUUCCAUUUGUUGUACUUGCUCCUCUAGUAUUCAGACAUAGCACUAGCUUUCUCCCUCUCUUGAUCUUGGGUAGCCUGGUGUCUCGCGAAACCAGACAGAUUGGUUCCACCACAAAUUAAGGCUUGAGCUGGGGCUUGACUCUUACCCAGCAGUGCUUUUAUUCCUCCCUAGUUCACGUUCUUAAAUGUUUAUCUUGAUUUUCAUUUUAUCCUUUUUCCUUAGCUGGGAUUCUGUCCCUGACCGUCUUCACAGUCCAGGUGAUCUUGACUACUGCUUUACAGAGAAUUGGAUCUGAGGUGUGGAAACAGGAAGAGAACUAGAACUGGAAGUAAAGCAUUGAAGAUGUGACUGAAUUGCUGCAAUCUCAUGAUCAAAUUUGAAUGGAUGAGGAGUUGCUUUUUAGGGAUGAGCAAAGAAAGUGGUUUCUCGAGAUGGAAUCUACUGGUUGCUCCUUGAGGGCAGGACAGUUCUUAUGGCUUUAUCCGUUGCGUAAGCACAGAGAGGUCUGCGAGGUCAAAACUAUUGUCAUGAUAGCAAGAUGCCUGUCUUUUUCAUUUAUUCUCACGGUGUGCAGAGGCUACAUGAUGUGUGAUGACAUCCUCAUUGAUGUUAAUGAAUGGUGCUAUACUUGAAUUUUCUAAGGUGUCAUUAGCAAUUCUCCUGCCUCAGCCUCCUGCAUAACUGGGACUACAGGGAAGCACCAUUUUCCACAAAACUCUCAAGAAGGACUUGUUGCAACUGGAAAAGCAAUUAAAUGUGAAUCGUGAUCCAGGAGAAAGUAACAACUCACAUAACUCCCAAAUUAAAAGUUUUCCAAAGAUAUAUCAUUUUUUUUCUCUUGGCCUUUUAAGAAACUAGCCAACAAAUACUCUUGACAGGUUUGUGUUUGGUUUUGAAAACACACACCUUAGUGUACUGAAAGAAAAACAAUUUCUUUUAAUUUGGUUUGUUGGUCCCACACCCCAUCUAUCAAUGUAUGUGCUAUUUACAAAUAAGUUCUAUACAGUAUUUUUGCAGUACCUUUGAUAAUUCCUAGACCUCUAUUUUCAUUCUGUGUAUUAAUGUGAAUAACAGAUGGAUAUUUUAAUAUUUAAGGCAGAUGGUAAACUUUCCUAUAGGUCUUGUGAGACUUCGUCUUAUAGGCUGAACACCAUUCACAAAAUGUAAUAAUGCUUCAUUCCUUCAGGUUGAGGUAAAGAACUUGAGCAACUGGAUUAGCAAAGCUGCAAAGAAUGAAAUGUGGCCUAAGAUGUAAUUAUGUUCUCUGCCCUUCCUUUGGGCCAGGGUAGUUUUGCACUUGACACAAUGGAAAAUAGGCCAUAAAGCCUGAAAAUAAAAUGUUCUAAACCCCAA
This 1911-nucleotide long non-coding RNA is filed under the name Homo sapiens (human). RNAcentral's name for it is "HSALNT0050682". Lineage: Eukaryota; Metazoa; Chordata; Mammalia; Primates; Hominidae. The record is from RNAcentral.